RNAcentral lists this ribosomal RNA (250 nucleotides) under uncultured bacterium. Its description in RNAcentral is "partial 16S ribosomal RNA". It matches the Rfam family "Bacterial small subunit ribosomal RNA", at positions 524 to 773 of the family's 1533-position model. The record is from RNAcentral.
GACGGAGGGUGCUAGCGUUGUUCGGAAUCACUGGGCGUAAAGGGCGCGUAGGCGGCGCCUGGUGUCGGAUGUGAAAGCCCGGGGCUCAACUCCGGAGGUGCAUCCGAAACUCAGGCGCUCGAGGCCGGAAGAGGAGGGUGGAAUACCCAGUGUAGAGGUGAAAUUCGUAGAUAUUGGGUGGAACACCGGUGGCGAAAGCGGCUCUCUGGUCCGGACCUGACGCUGAGGCGCGAAAGCGUGGGGAGCAAAC